RNAcentral lists this ribosomal RNA (466 nucleotides) under uncultured bacterium. RNAcentral's name for it is "bacterial SSU rRNA". It matches the Rfam family "Bacterial small subunit ribosomal RNA", at positions 28 to 507 of the family's 1533-position model. The record is from RNAcentral.
GACGAACGCUGGCGGCGCGCCUAACACAUGCAAGUCGAACGAGCGAGAGAGAGUUUACUUUUUCGAGCGAGUGGCGAACGGGUGAGUAACGCGUGAGGAACCUGCCUCAAAGAGGGGGACAACAGUUGGAAACGACUGCUAAUACCGCAUAAGCCCGCGACCCGGCAUCGGGUAGAGGGAAAAGGAGCAAUCCGCUUUGAGAUGGCCUCGCGUCCGAUUAGCUAGUUGGUGAGGUAACGGCCCACCAAGGCGACGAUCGGUAGCCGGACUGAGAGGUUGAACGGCCACAUUGGGACUGAGACACGGCCCAGACUCCUACGGGAGGCAGCAGUGGGGAAUAUUGCACAAUGGGGGAAACCCUGAUGCAGCGACGCCGCGUGGAGGAAGAAGGUCUUCGGAUUGUAAACUCCUGUUGUUGAGGAAGAUAAUGACGGUACUCAACAAGGAAGUGACGGCUAACUACGUG